UCAGUAAUUCAGUAAGAACAAGUUACUACCUUCAGUAAUUCAAGAUGGUUAAAAUUUCUGCCAUCCUGUAGAUACAGGCGGUCAACCAAACAAUUUGGAAGCAAAUGUUAAAUGUUGUGCUGUCAUAUGCUGACCUGACAAUGACAUCACAUGAGGGGUUCGCAUUUCAGUGUCUUGGCUGCACAUAUUUUCUUGUUCGGGCUGCGGCUAGCUUCUGAAUCUGACAAAGUACUAGCAACAAUGAAUGGCUGAAACUCUGAAUACUGAAUUGGGUUGAUUUUGUGUGAAGGUACAAAGACAUCUGCAGCUGCGGAUCGAAGCCCAGGGCAAGUACCUGCACUCUGUUCUGGAGAAGGCGCAGGAGGCGCUCGCCAAGAACCAGCACGCUGCCGGCGCCGGCGCCGGACACGAAGCAGGGAAGCCGCCGGCGAGACAACGACUCC
RNAcentral lists this long non-coding RNA (443 nucleotides) under Brachypodium distachyon (stiff brome). RNAcentral's name for it is "long non-coding RNA (BDIS_LNC000246)". Lineage: Eukaryota; Viridiplantae; Streptophyta; Magnoliopsida; Poales; Poaceae. The record is from RNAcentral.